UAUUUCGAACUAGACAAGGUUAAGAUUAAUUGUCACACGGAGGGUGACAAUUAAUCUUGGGCAAAGCGCUUGCUUUGCCUGACAUAGAACUCAGAAAUACGUGGAUCUAGUACAAUUUAAGUUGCGGCGAAAUACUACAGCUGUAGCGCGUAGUUCGUAGCGCGUAGUUCGUAGCGCGUAGUUCGUAGCGCGUAGACCGUAACUAUUACUUUUUUUAUAACACAUCAAUUUUGUAGUGUUAUAGGUAAUUACAUAAAAUAAAAUUAAAAAUAAAAAAUCUUGAAAAAAGCGCUAUUAAGCUUAAUUAUUACAAAUGUCCAACAUUAAAGACCUUUAACCGAAAAAUCGUACAUAAAAUAAUAAACCUAGUAAACAGUUGAUUCUAUUCUAUUUUUAAUUGAAAUAAAAUUUGUAGGUAAAUAAACAAAUAAAAUACUUUUAUUAGUUCAUUAAUGUUAUUUAUUAGGUACAAUAUUAUGUUAUCCUAUCACAGAUUCAUAAAAUACCUUACAUACUACUUGUGUGAAUAUGAAAACGUAAUAACAUAUUAGUGAUAUGCGACGAGAUGAGAUGACAGUAGAGCAGGGGUGGCCAACCGGUCGAUCGCGACCAUUAGUCCAGUCGAUCGAGGCUAGGCAAAAAAUAUAAAUAAAUAGUCCAUAUUGCGCAACGUAACACUACUAUGCUGUAUCAUUUAAUAUUUCAAAAAGUAUGUUAGUGGUAGAUCGCACAGGGUUUCGUUAGUAAACAGUAGAUCUUAUGUCUAAUCAAAUUGGCCACCCCUGCAGUAGAGUGUUCUUGGUCAUACUUUGAUUGCCCGAGUUAUUGAGCGAUACAAUUAAAUAUCGGACAACAGUUUACAUGGUGGCGUGACGUGUCAAUAAAACUUCCUAAAAAACAAAAAAAAAAA
Molecule: long non-coding RNA, 910 nt
Organism: Spodoptera frugiperda (fall armyworm)
Lineage: Eukaryota; Metazoa; Arthropoda; Insecta; Lepidoptera; Noctuidae
Exons: 2
Source: RefSeq, a predicted model, not a curated record